Molecule: ribosomal RNA, 253 nt
Filed under: uncultured bacterium
Lineage: Bacteria
Description: partial 16S ribosomal RNA
Rfam family: Bacterial small subunit ribosomal RNA
Source: RNAcentral
UACAUGUGGGGCAAGCGUUGUUCGGAAUUACUGGGCAUAAAGGGUGCGUAGGUGGCUUGUUAAGUCAGGGGUGAAAGUUUUCGGCCCAACCGGAAAAUGGCCUUUGAUACUGGCGAGCUCGAGUGCGUGAGGGGUAACCGGAACGAGCAGUGUAGCGGUGAAAUGCGUAGAUAUUGCUCGGAAGGCCAACGGCGAAGGCAGGUUACUGGUGCGGUACUGACGCUGAGGUGCGAAAGCGUGGGGAGCAAACAGG